Long non-coding RNA from Cucumis sativus (cucumber), 2327 nucleotides. RefSeq lists it as uncharacterized. NCBI's taxonomy places the organism in Eukaryota, Viridiplantae, Streptophyta, Magnoliopsida, Cucurbitales, Cucurbitaceae. The transcript is spliced from 2 exons. The record is from RefSeq and is a predicted model, not a curated record.
AUGAUUUCUUUUGAAAGGGUUUCUCCUUGAUGCAGAUCUAGUAGUUGGGAAGUGUUGUGCUUGAAUGAGGAUGUGUUUGAAAUUUGAGUUGGAGAUUGAAGUUUAUUGGAUCUGUAUUUAUGGGUUCAGAAUUGAGAAGUGAUGGGAAGAAAACAGUGUAAUUGGGUGUCUAAGAGGGCCUACUUCAUCAAUGCUCACAUGGGAUGCUUAUUCGGUUUGAAUACACACACUUCAUCAUGUGCUCUAACUACUGGUGAGCAGUCCAUUCGUUCCAAUUUUGUACAGUUAUAGGCCAAGAUAAGAGGCCAAUAAAACUUCUAAACCAAAUUUGAUGUCGUGGAAGAUCAACUGAUGACAAAGUCAUGUGACAAACUUCCAUCAUCCGUCCCUGCCUGCAUUUCUAAUCUGACUGGAGAAGAAUUGUAUACUGGAGGGUACCAAACUGGAAUAAAUUAUCGUUGAAAAAGACUAAUCAAUAAAUGGAUUCCAGCUCACUUGUAAAAUUUUCUUUCAGACAAGAAUAAUAUUGGUCUCCAGCAUGCUAUAAUCUUAGAUGUUUACCAUUUAGGAUUGUCUAAUACAUUUUCGCUUAUGUGUGAUAUGAGAUGCGUGUAAUGUUUGUCCAUAGGUCUGACGCGUCUAUUACAUGCAGUCAAAUUCCUUUCCUUACUCAUUAACUAUCUUUGUCUAAAUUGGUCUAUGCAUGUCCCUUUUCUCCACUCAUUUCGUUUUCUUGAUAUCUUUUGUUAGAAGCACUUGUGCUGAUACUAUAUAAAGAGCCAAUAAGAUUUUAUAUGCAAGCUGCAUAUUUUCUGAUAAAUUCUUGUAUUUUACGUUUUUCCUCCUAAUGGCAUACCAGAAGAUCGGGUGGCUUCUCCAGUUUAUGUUACUUUGAAUGCAGACUUUAAAUGCGACUUCCAUUCUUCAGAAGGAGUAGUGCUUCAAGUCUAUGGAAGUGAGCAAGAGUUGUUGGGGAAGAUGGGAGGCAGUUUUUCAUUCUUGAACCAGCUGCUCUUUUAGGAUAUGGUCGCUCAUUCAGGAAUUAAGCCAAGAUAUGGAAUGAUUUAGAAAUUUACAUAGCAGGAAUCUCAAAGUUUCAAACUAGGAACAACAGACUUGAAAGUGGAGCAUGAUUCUACCAUGGAUUAAGGUUGAUUUUGACAGUGACCUGCUCUUGAAGGUUGACACAAUUACUUGGGUCCAGGGAAACAGAGAUCGGCUUACUGUUUUAUUUGCUUUAACGCUGAAAAGUUACAUAUGCUUUUUCUGAGAUUUUGUCAAUUUGUUCAGAGGUCAGUAUUCAUAGUUGAUGGAUAAAGCCGAAAAACUGUAUGCGAGAUAGGUAGACAUUCUUGAAUUGAGAAAAAACUGAAGUUGGAUGGUUUUCAUUUUGAGCUCCUAACGAUCAGUAUGGAGGACAUGUUUACUGAGCAUUCUCAAGUCUUAAAUAGUAGCAAACACUACUAGGAAAUCUUUAUCGCAAGAGCUUGAUUUCAACAAAUUCAGUGACAAAAAGGCAAGAUUAAGUUGUGGCAAAUGAUUGUAGGAUUCUAGAUGAAGCAUCAAAAUAAUUUUCUAUCUAAAAAGGAAUGUGAUCUUGAUAUUAUAUUAUACAAUUCUCAAAGGAACGGAACAUAAUUCAAUGCAGUUGCUUAUUAAGAAGAAACAAGAGCAAACUACUGAUCGCAUAUGAAAAUGACCAAUUUGUUAUCUAAUAUCUUCUUGUCCAUUCCCAUCCGUAGGUUCAAAAACUUCACAAGAUAUGUUGUCUGGUGUAAAACGUGAUAUAUUAUAUCUGACAGAAUUUGGAUGUUCGGCUUAUGCUCGCAAUAAACAAGAUAAGUGACCAUGGAGCUGAAAAGAUGCGUCUACCUGGGGAUCGGGUGAUGUCAAAGAAAAAGCUGUGGGGUUUUUUGCGACUGUGCCAUGACACCAUGUUGACCAAAGAGUUCUUUGUAUGGAUUGCAGCAAUCAUUCAAAGGUGAGUGCUUUUGUGAUAUAAAAAGGAUCUUCAAGAAGCCUUUAAGAUAGCGUCAAAGUCAUUAACCAUCUAUCUUUAGCUCCAUGCUUGGUGUUUGAGUCCAAGUUCUUUCGUACUAAUUGGGAUAUUCCCCCUCUCAAUCCUUAUUGAGACUUCUUUCCAAUGAAGAAUAGCCCUUUUUUGGGCCGCCUUAUAGCAUGACCAAUUGUAAUUGCAUAAUAUAGUGAUGGGACCUCUGGUCAUUCUGCUAUUGAUGUCUCAACUUUUUACUUUCUUUAUAUGUUCUAGCUCUCGAGAACUUUUUGAAGUUUGCUAAGCGUGAGAUCACUAAGGUCCUGUUUGAGAA